AUGGAGGCGGCUCUCGUGAGUGUGGCGACGGGGGUCCUGAAGCCCGUCCUGGAGAAGCUGGCAGCUCUGCUUGGUGACGAGUACAAACGGUUCAAGGGAGUGCGCAAGGAUAUCAAGUCCCUCACUCGCGAGCUCCCUGCCAUGGAGGCUUUUCUCCUCAAGAUGUCCGAGGACGAGGAUCCUGAUGUGGAGGAUAAAGUUUGGAUGAAUGAGGUGCGAGAGCUAUCUUAG
RNAcentral lists this ribosomal RNA (231 nucleotides) under Triticum aestivum (bread wheat). RNAcentral describes it as "partial small subunit ribosomal RNA". The record is from RNAcentral. Lineage: Eukaryota; Viridiplantae; Streptophyta; Magnoliopsida; Poales; Poaceae.